Molecule: unclassified non-coding RNA, 307 nt
Filed under: plant metagenome
Description: partial contains 5.8S ribosomal RNA, internal transcribed spacer 2, and large subunit ribosomal RNA
Rfam family: 5.8S ribosomal RNA (bases 1-105)
Source: RNAcentral
GAAAUGCGAUAAGUAGUGUGAAUUGCAGAAUUCAGUGAAUCAUCGAAUCUUUGAACGCACAUUGCGCCCCUCGGUAUUCCGUGGGGCAUGCCUGUUCGAGCGUCAUCUACACCCUCAAGCUCUGCUUGGUGUUGGGCGUCUGUCCCGCCUCCGCGCUCGGACUCGCCCCAAAUGCAUUGGCAGCGGUUCCUUGCCCCCCUCUUUGCGCAGCACAUUGCCAUUCGAGGCGGCGGCGGCCCGCGUCCAACAAGCUCAACCCCCCCGUCUUUGACCUCGGAUCAGGUAGGGAUACCCGCUGAACUUAAGC